Molecule: ribosomal RNA, 254 nt
Filed under: uncultured bacterium
Lineage: Bacteria
Description: partial 16S ribosomal RNA
Rfam family: Bacterial small subunit ribosomal RNA
Source: RNAcentral
UACGUAGGGUGCGAGCGUUGUCCGGAAUUAUUGGGCGUAAAGAGCUCGUAGGCGGUCUGUCGCGUCGAUCGUGAAAACUUGGGGCUUAACCCUGAGCUUGCGGUCGAUACGGGCAUGACUGGAGUUCGGCAGGGGAGACUGGAAUUCCUGGUGUAGCGGUGAAGUGCGCAGAUAUCAGGAGGAACACCAAUGGCGAAGGCAGCUCUCUGGGACGGUACUGACGCUGAGACGCGAAAGCGUGGGGAGCGAACAGG